GCUGAAGCGAUCCUCCCACCUCAACCUCCCACGUGGCUGAGACUACAGGUGCUUGCCACUAUGCCCAACUAAUAUUUGGAAUUUUCGUAUACGUGGAUUCCAGAGGGGUGACAGCAAAACGUGGGAACAUCCAGUUGCAGGAAAACAAGCUUAACACGCCCACUGAUUCUACAUUAUGCUCCUACCUCCCGGCAGCCUCUCCAGGCCGAGAACUUUCUCCAGUCAGCCUCUACAGACCAAGCUCAUGACUCACAAUGGCCUAUUUAGGCCCAUACCCUACGUCACGGCAGCCUCCGCAGAUGAGCCUACUGCCUCACAACAGCCUCCACAGGCACAGCUCCAUCGUUACAAUGGCCUCUUUAGACCCAGCUCCUGCCUCCCAGCCUUCUCUCCAGGCUCUGAACUUUCUCAGUAAGUUCAGGUAGCUGGGACUGUAGGGUCUCCCUCUGUUGUCCAAGGCUGGAGUGUAGUAGUGCUA
Molecule: long non-coding RNA, 478 nt
Filed under: Homo sapiens (human)
Lineage: Eukaryota; Metazoa; Chordata; Mammalia; Primates; Hominidae
Description: HSALNT0289563
Source: RNAcentral